Molecule: ribosomal RNA, 256 nt
Filed under: uncultured beta proteobacterium
Lineage: Bacteria; Pseudomonadati; Pseudomonadota; Betaproteobacteria
Description: partial 16S ribosomal RNA
Rfam family: Bacterial small subunit ribosomal RNA
Source: RNAcentral
GCUGGCGGGAUGCUUUACACAUGCAAGUCGAACGGCAGCAUGGAGAGCUUGCUCUCUGAUGGCGAGUGGCGAACGGGUGAGUAAUAUAUCGGAACGUGCCCAGUAAUGGGGAAUAACUAAUUGAAAGAUUAGCUAAUACCGCAUACGACCUACGGGUGAAAGCAGGGGAUCUUCGGACCUUGCGUUAUUGGAGCGGCCGAUAUCUGAUUAGCUAGUUGGUAGGGUAAAAGCCUACCAAGGCGACGAUCAGUAGCUG